RNAcentral lists this ribosomal RNA (460 nucleotides) under uncultured bacterium. Its description in RNAcentral is "partial 16S ribosomal RNA". It matches the Rfam family "Bacterial small subunit ribosomal RNA", at positions 338 to 795 of the family's 1533-position model. The record is from RNAcentral.
CCUACGGGAGGCUGCAGUGGGGAAUAUUGGUCAAUGGGCGCGAGCCUGAUCCAGCCAUGUAGCGUGAAGGAUGACUGCCCUACGGGUUGUAAACUUCUUUUAUAAAGGAAUAAAGUGAGGCACGUGUGCCUUUUUGUAUUUACUUUAUGAAUAAGGAUCGGCUAACUCAGUUCCAGCAGCCGAGGUAAUACGGAGGUUCCGAUCGUUAUCCGGAUUUAUUGGGUUUAAAGUGAGCGUAGAUGGGUUGUUAAGUCAGUUGUGAAAGUUUGCGGCUCAACCGUAAAAUUGCAAUUGAUACUGGCAGUCUUGAGUACAGUUGAGGUAGGCAGAAUUCGUGGUGUAGCGGUGAAAUGCUUAGAGAUCACGAAGAACUCCGAUUGCGAAGGCAGCUUACUAAACUGCCACUGACAUUGAUGCUCGAAAGUGUGGGUAUCAAACAGGAUUAGAUACCCUGGUAGUC